GAUGAACGCUGGCGGCGUGCUUAACACAUGCAAGUCGAACGGAAAGGCCCAAGCUUGCUUGGGUACUCGAGUGGCGAACGGGUGAGUAACACGUGGGUGAUCUGCCCUGCACUUCGGGAUAAGCCUGGGAAACUGGGUCUAAUACCGGAUAGGACCACUUCUUGGAUGUUGUGGUGGAUAGUUUUUUCGGUGUGGGAUGAGCUCGCGGCCUAUCAGCUUGUUGGUGGGGUAAUGGCCUACCAAGGCGUCGACGGGUAGCCGGCCUGAGAGGGUGUACGGCCACAUUGGGACUGAGAUACGGCCCAGACUCCUACGGGAGGCAGCAGUGGGGAAUAUUGCACAAUGGGCGCAAGCCUGAUGCAGCGACGCCGCGUGGGGGAUGACGGCCUUCGGGUUGUAAACUCCUUUCGCUAGGGACGAAGCGUUUUGUGACGGUACCUGGAGAAGAAGCACCGGCUAACUACGUG
RNAcentral lists this ribosomal RNA (467 nucleotides) under uncultured bacterium. Its description in RNAcentral is "partial 16S ribosomal RNA". It matches the Rfam family "Bacterial small subunit ribosomal RNA", at positions 28 to 507 of the family's 1533-position model. The record is from RNAcentral.